AUGCGCAGACCCGGCGCUGCUCUCCGCCACGUGCUCCCCUCUCGCCACGUGCUCCGCGCACCCGGCCUUGCGCAUGCGCAGCAUCACUUCGCGCAUGCGCAGACUCCUCACUGCUCUCCGCCACGUGUUGAAUGGCCACGCUGUGGUUUUGGAGCUGAGGUCGCUGCAGGGCUGGGUGAGGAAAGCAGGCACCAGUUGUUGAAGGAGCAGCCGUGUUCGAUUGGAAGGGUGCAGCUUCUGUUCCUGCCCUCCUUAGAGCAGCCACCAGUCAGACUCUGGGUGUCAGCUGCACAUCCACCAGCAGAUGUGAAUUUGCAGGAGUUGAGGAAAAACAAAAGACUUUCUUCUGGAGCGCAGCUGAGUGUGAGGCAGCCUGAACUUCAUGCCAGUCUGGAAAAACCAGCCUCCAUCUGGUUGCUCUCUGAAGCCUGGCAGCGUGGUUUUGCUGUAAGAUCAGAUGGGAUUUCAGCAUCUUCAGAAGAGCAGGUGGCAACACACAGCAUCUUAAUGCUAUGGAGCAUCCACCAGCAUUGUGUGAGAGCUUGCAGAUUUAAGCUGUUCUGGUCUUAAUCGUACUGAAACUUGAGAGAGAAAGGGAUUUGCCAAGUGCCAACACUUUGCAAAGGUGCAAAUAAACGCUGGGUGUGUGUGCUACA
This 656-nucleotide long non-coding RNA is filed under the name Phasianus colchicus (ring-necked pheasant). RNAcentral describes it as "lncRNA (ENSPCLG00000009802.1)". Lineage: Eukaryota; Metazoa; Chordata; Aves; Galliformes; Phasianidae. The record is from RNAcentral.